UUCGCUGUUAUUUGUUGCCAUUCUGACAC
Molecule: small RNA, 29 nt
Filed under: Bombyx mori (domestic silkworm)
Lineage: Eukaryota; Metazoa; Arthropoda; Insecta; Lepidoptera; Bombycidae
Description: ovarian small RNA-37415
Source: RNAcentral